UACGUAGGGGGCGAGCGUUGUCCGGAAUUACUGGGCGUAAAGGGUGCGUAGGCGGCCAUGUAAGUCCUGUGUGAAAGGCCCCGGCUCAACCGGGGAGUGGCAUGGGAAACUGGAUGGCUUGAGUACCGGAGAGGGUUGCGGAAUUCCAGGUGUAGCGGUGAAAUGCGUAGAUAUCUGGAGGAACUCCAGUGGCGAAGGCGGCAACCUGGACGGUGACUGACGCUGAGGCACGACAGCUGGGGGAGCGAACAGG
Molecule: unclassified non-coding RNA, 253 nt
Filed under: uncultured Bacillota bacterium
Lineage: Bacteria; Bacillati; Bacillota
Description: uncultured Firmicutes bacterium contains 16S-23S intergenic spacer region
Rfam family: Bacterial small subunit ribosomal RNA
Source: RNAcentral